This 253-nucleotide ribosomal RNA is filed under the name uncultured bacterium. RNAcentral's name for it is "partial 16S ribosomal RNA". It matches the Rfam family "Bacterial small subunit ribosomal RNA", at positions 524 to 776 of the family's 1533-position model. The record is from RNAcentral.
UACGUAGGGUGCAAGCGUUGUCCGGAAUUAUUGGGCGUAAAGAGCUCGUAGGCGGUUUGUUGCGUCGGCUGUGAAAUCCCGAGGCUCAACCUCGGGUCUGCAGUCGAUACGAGCAAACUAGAGUGUUGCAGGGGAGACUGGAAUUCCUGGUGUAGCGGUGAAAUGCGUAGAUAUCAGGAGGAACACCUGCGGUGUAGACGGCUUACUGGACCAUCACUGACGCUGAGGCACGAAAGCGUGGGUAGCAAACAGG